GGGAAACGGACUGAGGAGCCAGCCCCAGGCCCCGACAACGACUGGGGCA
This is a non-coding RNA of Bos taurus (domestic cattle), 49 nucleotides long. The record is from Rfam. NCBI's taxonomy places the organism in Eukaryota, Metazoa, Chordata, Mammalia, Artiodactyla, Bovidae.